RNAcentral lists this ribosomal RNA (301 nucleotides) under uncultured bacterium. RNAcentral describes it as "partial 16S ribosomal RNA". It matches the Rfam family "Bacterial small subunit ribosomal RNA", at positions 509 to 808 of the family's 1533-position model. The record is from RNAcentral.
CAGUCGCCACGGUAAUACGUAGGUCCCGAGCGUUGUCCGGAUUUAUUGGGCGUAAAGCGAGCGCAGGCGGUUAGAUAAGUCUGAAGUUAAAGGCUGUGGCUUAACCAUAGUACGCUUUGGAAACUGUUUAACUUGAGUGCAAGAGGGGAGAGUGGAAUUCCAUGUGUAGCGGUGAAAUGCGUAGAUAUAUGGAGGAACACCGGUGGCGAAAGCGGCUCUCUGGCUUGUAACUGACGCUGAGGCUCGAAAGCGUGGGGAGCAAACAGGAUUAGAGACCCCAGUAGUCCCUGUCUCUUAUACA